Patella vulgata (common limpet) is the source of this 951-nucleotide long non-coding RNA. RefSeq lists it as uncharacterized. NCBI's taxonomy places the organism in Eukaryota, Metazoa, Mollusca, Gastropoda, Patellidae. The record is from RefSeq and is a predicted model, not a curated record. The transcript has 3 exons.
AACAGUGAAUGCUUAAUAGUCGUUUACUGCCAAUGGUUUUCAUGAAAGAAUCGAGACAUAAAGACGAAUAUCAUGUACAGACCAAUUAGCAAAGCUAAGAAUACCCACUCAACAGAACUUUAUCACUUUUUGUGAACAUUGUGAAUUUCAAGUCUUCUAUCACCGCUAAUCUUUUCAUUGAUAAUGGAUAGAGCUAGUUCCUCGGGGAAUCCAGUGGACAUUAAUCCAAAAGUUCGAAGACCUGGAUUUGGUAUCAAAAUGUUGUCAAAACUGCUGGUCUAGAGAUAAACGCAACAUUGAUGGGAGGCGACUGGGAGCACUGUAGAAUGUCGAACGUUUCAAAGUAAAAUAAAAUAUUUAAAAGAACAAAUUACAUCUCACGAAUGAGGUUAUGUCAACUCGAACUUCUGAACAUUCUGUGAAAAAUAAAGUGAGUGGAAUUUGAGUUAUGAAGCCUGUAGGUUACCCAGCUAUUCAUGUCUUCUUGUUAUUUAUUAUAAGCAUUAACAUACCAAAAAAACUAAAACAGAGUAAAAUCAUUUCAUCUAAAUCUAGAAUUGCACAGAGUUCUCUGUAUGGACCCCUCUUAUUCAUUCAUUAAUGUGAAAUUGGAUUGAUUCCUCGCAAUAUCUGUAUACAAAUUGAAUGACUCCAUGUUUAAUAUGAUAACUGUCUCAAAUGAAAAAAAAAUUGAUCAAAGAAGAAUCUAAAACUAUAUCACAAAAAUGUAAAUAAAAAAUCCAAUAAACAACAGUAACAACCAUAUGGUAAGGGGGCUAUAAAUUUUGAAUUUUUCAAUAAUGUUUGGUUACUAUAAUAAUAAGUAUUGUCAUAAGUAAAACAAAUACACAGAGCAAAAUAAUGACGAUUACCUAUAUUUGGCUAUACUUUGCAUUGCUAUUAAAGUAGAGUGGGUUAUACUAUAUAUACGCCAUUUUACAUAAUUUUGCA